CAGUAGCCGCGGUAAUACGAAGGGUGCAAGCGUUACUCGGAAUUACUGGGCGUAAAGCGUGCGUAGGUGGUGGUUUAAGUCCGUUGUGAAAGCCCUGGGCUCAACCUGGGAAUUGCAGUGGAUACUGGGUCACUAGAGUGUGGUAGAGGAUAGUGGAAUUUCCGGUGUAGCAGUGAAAUGCGUAGAGAUCGGAAGGAACAUCUGUGGCGAAGGCGACUAUCUGGGCCAUUACUGACACUGAGGCACGAAAGCGUGGGGAGCAAACAGGAUUAGAUACCCGUGUAGUCCCUGUCUCUUAUAC
RNAcentral lists this ribosomal RNA (301 nucleotides) under uncultured bacterium. RNAcentral's name for it is "partial 16S ribosomal RNA". It matches the Rfam family "Bacterial small subunit ribosomal RNA", at positions 509 to 807 of the family's 1533-position model. The record is from RNAcentral.